UACGUAGGUGACCAGCGUUGUCCGGAUUUACUGGGCGUAAAGAGCGCGCAGGCGGUCGUUCAAGUCGAGUGUGAAAGCCCCCGGCUCAACUGGGGAGGGUCACUCGAUACUGAUCGACUUGAAGGCAGGAGAGGGAAGCGGAAUUCCCGGUGUAGUGGUGAAAUGCGUAGAUAUCGGGAGGAACACCAGUGGCGAAGGCGGCUUCCUGGCCUGUUCUUGACGCUGAGGCACGAAAGCGUGGGGAGCAAACAGG
Molecule: ribosomal RNA, 253 nt
Filed under: uncultured bacterium
Lineage: Bacteria
Description: partial 16S ribosomal RNA
Rfam family: Bacterial small subunit ribosomal RNA
Source: RNAcentral